GCGGCUUGCCGAGCAUUCGGCACCCGGCUAAAUCGACCAUCACGCAUCGGUAACGGGAAUGCGGUGCGCCCCUUAUUGGGCAAUUCCGCAGCUGUCCCUGCAACUGUAAGCGGCGAGCUUUUCGCGCGCGCUUCCUCUUCUGGAAGCAACCACUGAGCGGACAACGCUUGGGAAGGUGUGCGACAAGCAGCGACCCGCAAGCCAGGAGACCGACCGGAGCGUGUCGCUUGUU
RNAcentral lists this non-coding RNA (232 nucleotides) under Erythrobacter sp. Lineage: Bacteria; Pseudomonadati; Pseudomonadota; Alphaproteobacteria; Sphingomonadales; Erythrobacteraceae. The record is from RNAcentral.